Molecule: ribosomal RNA, 342 nt
Filed under: Triticum aestivum (bread wheat)
Lineage: Eukaryota; Viridiplantae; Streptophyta; Magnoliopsida; Poales; Poaceae
Description: partial small subunit ribosomal RNA
Source: RNAcentral
AUGGUGAGAAUGCUGAUGUUGUGGUUACUGGAGAUGAGAACGUGUAGCCUGACCAAACCAAGCCUAAGAGCUGUGUCCCUCACUCUGUUGAGCAUGUUUUGGUUGCACUGGUUAGUUGUUAAAGGCUUAGCAGUACCAACCAUGGUGCUGGUGCCGCGGACUCCCCGAUGUGCGCGGCCUCACCGCUCGUCCCUUCUGGCUGCACCUCCCCAUGUCAUGCUGCAGUUUAUCCCUUGUCGAAGUUCUUAUGUGAUUCAUCUCAUACGCAUCGUUGGCUGUUCUCUUUCGGCUUUUCAAGGUUUCAUCUUCCUCCUUGAAGCUUACUUUCUUAUGUUCAUUUGA